Long non-coding RNA from Malaclemys terrapin pileata, 242 nucleotides. RefSeq lists it as uncharacterized. The record is from RefSeq and is a predicted model, not a curated record. NCBI's taxonomy places the organism in Eukaryota, Metazoa, Chordata, Testudines, Emydidae. The transcript has 3 exons.
GUAAAGUUCAUCCCAAAAGCUAUGGAAGAACAGCAACUUUGGAGGUUAUACGUGCCUCAGUGGAAAACUGUCAAGACAAGUGAAAAUCUUGUGAGAGAAGGUUUGCCAGUUUCAGUACUUCCUGGCUGCCGAGAACAUUUACUGCAAAUCAAUGCUCUAUCCGCAAUCUAAUUUCCUAGAAGAGACAGGACCAGUUCCGAAUUGAAUGCCACCACCCUCGUGGAGAUGCAUAAGAAACCAAU